GAUGAACGCUAGCGGCAGGCUUAACACAUGCAAGUCGAGGGGCAGCAUGAGACGGAGAUUCGUCAAAGUCUUGAUGGCGACCGGCGCAAGGGUGCGUAACGCGUGAGCAACUUGCCCGUUUCUGGGGAAUAACCGGUGGAAACGCCGACUAAUACCCCAUAGUAUGUCCGAGAGGCAUCUUUUGGACAUUAAAGAACUUCGGAAACGGAUAGGCUCGCGUGACAUUAGCUAGAUGGCGGGGUAACGGCCCACCAUGGCGACGAUGUCUAGGGGUUCUGAGAGGAAGGUCCCCCACACUGGAACUGAGACACGGUCCAG
Molecule: ribosomal RNA, 318 nt
Filed under: uncultured bacterium
Lineage: Bacteria
Description: bacterial SSU rRNA
Rfam family: Bacterial small subunit ribosomal RNA
Source: RNAcentral